RNAcentral lists this ribosomal RNA (515 nucleotides) under uncultured bacterium. RNAcentral's name for it is "partial 16S ribosomal RNA". It matches the Rfam family "Bacterial small subunit ribosomal RNA", at positions 28 to 523 of the family's 1533-position model. The record is from RNAcentral.
GAUGAACGCUGGCGGCGUGCCUAAUACAUGCAAGUCGAGCGAAUGGAUUAAGAGCUUGCUCUUAUGAAGUUAGCGGCGGACGGGUGAGUAACACGUGGGUAACCUGCCCAUAAGACUGGGAUAACUCCGGGAAACCGGGGCUAAUACCGGAUAACAUUUUGAACCGCAUGGUUCGAAAUUGAAAGGCGGCUUCGGCUGUCACUUAUGGAUGGACCCGCGUCGCAUUAGCUAGUUGGUGAGGUAACGGCUCACCAAGGCAACGAUGCGUAGCCGGCCUGAGAGGGGGAGCGGCCACACUGGGACUGAGACACGGCCCAGACCCCGACGGGAGGCAGCAGUAGGGAAUCUUCCGCAAUGGACGAAAGUCUGACGGAGCAACGCCGCGUGAGUGAUGAAGGCUUUCGGGUCGUAAAACUCUGUUGUUAGGGAAGAACAAGUGCUAGUUGAAUAAGCUGGCACCUUGACGGUACCUAACCAGAAAGCCACGGCUAACUACGUGCCAGCCGCCGCAGUAA